This 887-nucleotide long non-coding RNA is filed under the name Gigantopelta aegis. RNAcentral describes it as "uncharacterized LOC121373641". Lineage: Eukaryota; Metazoa; Mollusca; Gastropoda; Neomphalida; Peltospiridae. The record is from RNAcentral.
UUUAAUUAGCAAGGUAGCAAUUUGUAUUAUUGUAGCUUGUGGUAUGGGUGAGUGAUAGAUGAGUGAUAAGCUGACUGGGUGAAUAUAGUGUGGAACUGGGCUAUUGAGUGGAUGAUUUGUCAUUAAUCGCUGAGAGAGAAUCAUUGAACAUUCAGUUUGGGAAAGACUUGGUAGAAGUGUAAGAGACUUUGUGGAAGUUCGGGUUAUUGUUUAACCCAGCUUGUGUGGUAUCUGUUGAGACCAACAACGGGAUGAGCAGCGAGGGGCAAUGUUAGAGUUUGACCAGGUGAUUGGGCUGCGGAAUUAUGUGAAGAAGGGACGAGGAAACUGACGUUGAUGUUAAUUCAUGGAAGUUGGGUACAGCUGAAGUGGAAAUUGAAGUUCCACAUGUGGGCUACUUAUUAGCCAUGAUGUUGUGGUGGUGAAUAACAAGUGUAUUGUUAUCGUGCAGCAUCUCGGUGAAUAACAAGUGUAUUGUUAUUGUGCAGCAGAAACAUAUUGUGUAAAUAUGGCUGUAGUAUUUAGAGCUGAUCUGAAAUGGAGGGUGCUAACUAAUGUUAGUACAUAAUUUAGUUAGAACAAUAUAUGUAUAUAAAAGUUGAUCACGAGGAAGUGAAUCAUAAGGAUUGUGGUAUGAACUGAAACAUUUUAUAUUGAACUGUGUGGUUUUAGUAUAUUAUUUUGUGUGUUGUGAUACGUGAUAUUUUUAUAUGAAAUUAUGUGUAAAGUGGUGAUAAUGUAUGUUUAUUAUAUAUGAGAAGUGUGAGUGUUGAGGGAGUGCUGGUGAUUAGUGGUAUGUGAGAGGGAUAUAAUUAGGGUUAGUAAGUAGGAGUGGAGAAUGAAUGUGAUUGUUAUUUGUGUGCUGUAAAUAAAUGUAAUAUAAUUUA